Molecule: long non-coding RNA, 2041 nt
Organism: Apteryx haastii (Great spotted kiwi)
Lineage: Eukaryota; Metazoa; Chordata; Aves; Apterygiformes; Apterygidae
Source: Ensembl
AUGGGAGCAUCCCCGCGGCAGCCUCGCUGGGGCUCUCCGGUCCUCUGCCUUUGCUGUCCUGGUGCCGGAUGGGCAAUGUCGGACUUGCUCCUCGUGGCCGGCCAGAGGAUGCUCACAGGGGCUGCACCAACCUGCCUCGAGCCUCUCUGCUUUCCUCUGCCCUCUCCUCUCUCGCUGUCCUCCCGCAGCAUGCGUGGCGCCGCUCCGCACUGUGCCGGGGGCUGGAAACCCCUGUGCCGGGGAGCUCGGCUGGAUUGGGAGCGAUCCGCCUGGCAAACCCAGAUUUGGGACUCCCUGAUAAAGCCUCAGCAAUGCUCCCACCUGGGGAAAGGGUGCACAGAGGACGGUCCUGAGGGGGCUCAGGAUGCGUGCAAGCAGGUGCCGGCACCGCAAAGCAGCGGCGUGCAAUGGUUACGGACCCCCGCUGUGGGCGCAGGCGAUGGCCACCAGCAGCCGUGCACCUGCAGGGCAGCGCGCUGGCGGCCGCGUGUUGAUGCAGGCGGUGCAAGGGGUAUCGGGACGUGCCAGCUCCGUGCAAAGCGCGGGGCAGUUCUGCAGAGACCCGCGGGGCUCCUGCUGUACCCCGCCAUCCCCUGGCACCUCUGUGCCAGUGCUGGUGCCCUGGGCACACCGUGCCCGGGGGCAGCGGGAGGGGAAGGACCCCCGUUGCCUGUGCAGGAAGCUUUUCCCACGUGGCAAUCUGCCGUGCCCGGCCCCGAUGAACCAGGGGGCUGCAGCUGGUGCAAGAGCUGCAGAGCCCUCCCAGCCUGGUCUCUGGUGGAGCACGUCUGGGGCAUGCGGGUUUGGCUUCUCCAGGCUGGCACCGCCCGGCUGGCAUCCGUGUGUCCGUCUGCUUGCCGGGAGCAUGUUUGUGGUCCGUACGUGGCCCCGUGGCCGCAGAGAGCGUUGGGUCCGUCCCCAGGCAGAGCGCGGCUCCCGUGCGGGUCUGUGGCUCACCCAGGAACCUGCUUUCCCUCCGCAGCCCAAGGUGAGCUUGGAGCAGAGCAAGAAGGACGGGCCCCGGCCGGCUGCCCCCGGCUCCCCCGCCGAGGGGCCGCUGCUGCAGAGCCGGCAGGAGCAGGAGGCGGAGAAGCAAGCGGCUCUCAACAAAGUGGGCAUCGUCCCCCCCAGAACCAAGUCUCCGGCGGAGGAGGAGGUGGCGCCGGCGGCAGGCGUGGUGCGGAGGAACGCCGGCGGCAUGGCCAACGGGCUCGGCUCCCGGGAGAGGCCGAAGAGCGCUGUGUUCGCCACCGAGACGAAGGCGAAAAUGAGCGUGGAGGAGCAGAUCGACCGCAUGAAACGGCACCAGAGCGGCUCCAUGAAGGAGAAGCGGCGGAGCCUGCAGCUCCCGGGCAGCCAGCAGCCCGAGACCCCCGGCACCAGGGCACCGGCCUCCUACAAGGUGGUGCGCCGGCACCGCAGCAUCCACGAGGUGGACAUCUCCGACCUGGAGGCCGCGCUGCGCUCCGAGGACUCGGGCAAAGUCUACGAGACGCCCCGGGAGGAGAUCGCCCGGCUGCGCAAGAUGGAGCUGGAGCCGCAGCAUUACGACGUCGACAUCCAUAAGGAGCUCUCAACGCCGGACAAAGUCCUCAUCCCCGAGCGGUACAUCGAACUGGAGCCCGACACCCCCCUCAGUCCCGAAGAGAUGAAGGAAAAGCAGAAGAAGGUGGAAAGGAUAAAAACCCUCAUUGCCAAAUCCAGGUGAGGCCGCUGGGCCCGUGCCCGUCCUGGCUGUCACCGGGGCAUCCCUGCGACCACCGCGCCGCCCGUUCCCCCUCCGUCCUCCGCUCUGUCCCUCCCUCUGCUCGGCUCCGCUCUGCUCCACCGCCACGCUCGCGUGAUCCAGGCGCCCUCCUGGACCCGCGCCGGGCGGUGACGCCGACGCUCUCCCGCAGCCUGCAGAACGUGAUCCCGCUGAGCGAGGGCGAGGUGGACGCCCCCCAGGACCCGGAGACCCAGCUGCAGGAGCAGGAGAAGAGGAUCGAGAUCUCCUGCACCCUGGCUGCGGAGGCCUCCCGCCGGGGCCGCAUGCUCUCGG